AAACCAGAGAAGCGCGACGCCAAGCCAAUCUCUGGGCUGCUCUGGGCGUACGUGACGGCAAGAUAGCAGGGCGAGCGGGCAACACUCACCAGCGUCCUCUCCGGUGUCGUCGCCAUGGUGCUGCGUUUAUGAGCGGGAAAGGGCACAACAACUGGGCGGGAGCUGCGUCAGAAACGUGCAAACGUCCAACGUCCAACCUCGGCGCCGGGCCGGGUACUGGUGGCAGUUGUCAACAACAACGAAAGCGUAGACCAGUCCGGUCUGGGUCUGUGCUUCAGCUGUGCUGGUUGGGACCACGAGACCCACGCCGCUUGCCUCUCUCAAGGUCACGCGUAAGUGUCUGGCUGGAUUGGCCGCGACCACAGCCCCCCCUUCCCCCCACUCCUCUUUGCCCGCUCUGCCACUGAAAGUGGGAGAAAACUAAUUGUGGUGGGGGAAGGAGUUUUAGGUGCAAGAGAGAUGGCUAUUCUUGCACUCUUUUGAGCCGAUGCCGGCCUUUUGCAUCUUGUAACUGAUGAUGCAAUCAAAUGAAAUAAAAAAAUUUAAGACAUGUACCAAAUUUUAGGCAGCUCCUGAGCAUUAGUACCAGUUGAUAGGGCAACACAAGCGUGUAAGAGUACAAGAAUGGAUUGAAUGGGCAGAGUCUUAAACUAUCACACUCUCCAUCGAAACUUUUUCUGGAAUCAUGUUUUGUUUCAGUUUUGGGUUUACUUUGUCUUAAAGGUAUCAGUUUUGAAUGUAUCUUUUGUUGGAAUAAUAUUUUUUUAAGGAGUUAAAGAAACACAAAAAUACAUAUCCUUAAAAUGU
Long non-coding RNA from Thrips palmi, 807 nucleotides. RefSeq lists it as uncharacterized. The record is from RefSeq and is a predicted model, not a curated record. Lineage: Eukaryota; Metazoa; Arthropoda; Insecta; Thysanoptera; Thripidae. The transcript is spliced from 2 exons.